This is a microRNA precursor of Oryza sativa Indica Group (long-grained rice), 209 nucleotides long. It matches the Rfam family "MIR812 microRNA precursor family". The record is from Rfam. Lineage: Eukaryota; Viridiplantae; Streptophyta; Magnoliopsida; Poales; Poaceae.
AAUAAAUCCUGAAUUUCUAUUUCAAUGUCCAACGUUUGACUGUACGUCUUAUAUGAAAUUAUUUUUAUAAUUAGUAUUUUCAUUGUUGUUAGAUGAUAAAAUAUGAUUAAUAUUUUAUACGUAACUUGUCUUUUUAAUUAUUUUUAUAAUUUUUUUAAAUAAGACGGACGGUCAAACGUUGAACACGGAAACCCAUGGUUUGUCUUUUU